CCCCAAAAUGCCCUUCCUGUGCCCCCAAAGAGAUAGCAGAGCAGGCAGCUGCAGCUGAAGCUGGAGCGGCUCCGUGAGCGCGCUCGGAAGCAGCAGCAGCGGCGGCAGAUCUGCAGCCUCAGCUUCAACCUGGAUGAAGAGGAAGAGGAGGAGGGGGGGGGAGGGGAAAGCCCCCCCAGGGACCCCCCCAGCGACGAGGAGCCCCCCCGGAAGAAGAAGCUGGGGAAGAACCCGGAUGUGGACACCAGUUUCCUCCCGGAUCGCGACAGGGAGGUGAAUUUGGGCCCCAAUUUUGGGGUUUUUGGGGU
Non-coding RNA from Phasianus colchicus (ring-necked pheasant), 308 nucleotides. NCBI's taxonomy places the organism in Eukaryota, Metazoa, Chordata, Aves, Galliformes, Phasianidae. The record is from RefSeq and is a predicted model, not a curated record.